AACGCGUGGAGCAUGUGGCUUAAUUUGACUCAACGCGGGGAAUCUUACCGGGUCCGGACACACUGAGGAUUGACAGACGGUUAUUGACUUAAGUAAGCGCCUUAAUAGAUUUAUUCUGUUAAGCGCUCUUAACACCUUUACACAAAGAUGCUAGUCCUUUCAUGAUCGUUUGAUAGGUGGUGCAUGGCCGUUCUUAGUUCGUGGAGUGAUCUGUCUGCCUAAUUGCGUUUCACUAAGGUCCCAUUCAUCAUACGUAUGAAUAGCGUCUUAACUCACUUUUAUCAUUACUUAUUGUAGUAAGCGCUCAUACUAUUGGGACCGGAAUGCAACGAGCGCGACUGCACCACCUAAUUGCCCCUUAUCUACCACUAAUUAUUAUUAUUAACCGCCCUGUACGGGCACCGGGGCCUUACCUUUACUGAAACUAGCUGGACCGCUGCUUUCCUUUAAGCCAGAGGAAGGUUGCGGCAAUAACAGGUCUGUGAUGCCCUCAGAUGUUCCGGGCCGCACACGUGCUACAAUGAUCAGCACAAAGAGUAUUACCUAUCUUCUUAUACCUAACCUAAUAUGUUAAACUUAUUGCGUAAGGGUAUUGUCUUAACGACGUAUCCGCUUUAGCGCGUUAAGAUUAUUGGGCGGUUAUGCCUGCCUCGAGAGAGUGUACAGGGCAGCAAGAGUAAUGAUUCCCUCGUUUUUACUACUAAUACCGCGCUUAGUAACAUAUAACACUCGAUUAAGUAGAGUCUUUGCUUCUAAUAGCAUUGCUACUCUCACCCUUAGUCUCUUAAGAUAUUUAUAUGUCUCUCUAAGGUCUACAGGGAGGUGUGUAUGGCGCACUUACUUAUUCACGGUGGGGACAGACCAUUGUUAACUGUUGGUCUCGGUCUCAACUAGGAAUGCCUCGUACGGGUUGGUUCACCAAACCACCCGGAAUAUGUCCCUGCCCUUUGUACACACCGCCCGUCGCUCUUAUCGAUGAACUCACUUGUGAGGCUAAGGGACUGCGUCUUAACACAUAUAUCUACACUUAUACCCGUGUAAUCCUCAUAUCUUAAAUACAUUUCGCUAAACGCGAUUUUCCUUUAAGGAUUUACACGACCNNGCGCACAAACUUAUUCGACCAAGUGGGUUUAAAGGAAAGAGAAGUCGUAACAAGGCAGCAGUAGGUGAACCUGCUGAUGGUANCAAAGGCNAAUUCGCGGGCCG
Molecule: ribosomal RNA, 1206 nt
Filed under: Globorotalia truncatulinoides
Lineage: Eukaryota; Foraminifera; Rotaliida; Globorotaliidae
Description: SSU rRNA
Rfam family: Eukaryotic small subunit ribosomal RNA
Source: RNAcentral